AGCGAACGCUGGCGGCAGGCUUAACACAUGCAAGUCGAGCGCCCCGCAAGGGGAGCGGCAGACGGGUGAGUAACACGUGGGAACGUGCCUUUUGGUUCGGAACAACUGAGGGAAACUUCAGCUAAUACCGGAUAAGCCCUUACGGGGAAAGAUUUAUCGCCAAAAGAUCGGCCCGCGCUGAUUAGCUAGUUGGUGGGGUA
Molecule: ribosomal RNA, 200 nt
Filed under: uncultured bacterium
Lineage: Bacteria
Description: partial 16S ribosomal RNA
Rfam family: Bacterial small subunit ribosomal RNA
Source: RNAcentral